This 320-nucleotide ribosomal RNA is filed under the name uncultured eukaryote. RNAcentral's name for it is "partial 18S ribosomal RNA". It matches the Rfam family "Eukaryotic small subunit ribosomal RNA", at positions 1470 to 1796 of the family's 1831-position model. The record is from RNAcentral.
CCCCUAGAUGUUCUGGGCCGCACGCGCGCUACACUGAACAGUUCAACAAGUCUUAACCUUGGCCGAUAGGUCUGGGUAAUCUUUGAACGCUGUUCGUGAUUGGGAUAGACCUUUGCAAUUAUGGGUCUUCAACGAGGAAUUCCUAGUAAACGCAAGUCAUCAGCUUGCAUUGAUUACGUCCCUGCCCUUUGUACACACCGCCCGUCGCACCUACCGAUUGAAUGGUCCGGUGAAAUCUCGGGACGGCGGCUUGGUCGCUUGCGUCCGACUGCUGAAACCUGAUUAAACCAUAUCAUUUAGAGGAAGGAGAAGUCGUAACA